This 254-nucleotide ribosomal RNA is filed under the name uncultured bacterium. RNAcentral describes it as "partial 16S ribosomal RNA". It matches the Rfam family "Bacterial small subunit ribosomal RNA", at positions 524 to 776 of the family's 1533-position model. The record is from RNAcentral.
UACGUAGGGGGCAAGCGUUGUCCGGAUUUAUUGGGCGUAAAGAGCUCGUAGGCGGUUUGGUAAGUCUGGUGUGAAAUCUCCACGCUCAACGUGGAGGGGCCACCCGAUACUGCCAUGACUGGAGUCCGGUAGAGGAGUGUGGAAUUCCCGGUGUAGCGGUGAAAUGCGCAGAUAUCGGGAAGAACACCCGUAGCGAAGGCGGCACUCUGGGCCGGUACUGACGCUGAGGAGCGAAAGCGUGGGGAGCAAACAGG